Alligator mississippiensis (American alligator) is the source of this 545-nucleotide long non-coding RNA. RefSeq lists it as uncharacterized. The transcript has 2 exons. The record is from RefSeq and is a predicted model, not a curated record. NCBI's taxonomy places the organism in Eukaryota, Metazoa, Chordata, Crocodylia, Alligatoridae.
UAGGUUUUCAAUUUGGAUAAAAUCUUUUUGCCCAUAUUUUGAAUUGCAUGAGAAAAAUAAAUUUUUUAAAGUAGAUUUAGAGGCUUUCCUUGUGUGAACCAUCCUAACGAAGAAAGAUAACAGACAGAACCAUGGAAGAAGGUCACAUAAGGGGGAAGACCAUGGACAGAUGCAGAAUGUUUGCAAGUGGGCUGCAGGAGCAGCAACCUGCACUUCAGGGGUGGCUGCAGCCUGGUUCCCAGCAUUUACCCUCUUUCUGGGCAGACCAGACCACAGCAUUUACCUUCUUUCUGGGCAGACCAGACCACAGGAGCAGCAGCAGGGACUUUUUAAGUCCUUCAGGCAGUGGCUGUGAUGGGCUCUAGAAGCAAGCUAGAUGUUCUUCACUCAACAUGUAAUGCAUCUUUGCCCAAAGAUACCUAGCAGAUGGGUGUGAAAUGAUCCUCGGUAUAUUUACUUUCAUCAUAUUUACUUUACCUUCACUCACUAUUAAAGGAUCUUUAAUGAAAGCGUCGCCAAUAAAAGGCAGAAAUAAUUUUCCUUGA